RNAcentral lists this transfer RNA (71 nucleotides) under Loxodonta africana (African savanna elephant). It matches the Rfam family "tRNA". From Rfam's summary of the family: Transfer RNA (tRNA) molecules are approximately 80 nucleotides in length. Their secondary structure includes four short double-helical elements and three loops (D, anti-codon, and T loops). Further hydrogen bonds mediate the characteristic L-shaped molecular structure. tRNAs have two regions of fundamental functional importance: the anti-codon, which is responsible for specific mRNA codon recognition, and the 3' end, to which the tRNAs corresponding amino acid is attached (by aminoacyl-tRNA synthetases). tRNAs cope with the degeneracy of the genetic code in two manners: having more than one tRNA (with a specific anti-codon) for a particular amino acid; and 'wobble' base-pairing, i.e. permitting non-standard base-pairing at the 3rd anti-codon position. Lineage: Eukaryota; Metazoa; Chordata; Mammalia; Proboscidea; Elephantidae. The record is from Rfam by way of RNAcentral.
GCAGUGACAGUUCAGCGGUAGAAUUCUCACCUUCCAUGUGGGAGAUCCAGGUUCAAUUCUUGGCCAAUGCA